The sequence is a ribosomal RNA, 494 nucleotides long. It matches the Rfam family "Bacterial small subunit ribosomal RNA", at positions 27 to 504 of the family's 1533-position model.
GGACGAACGCUGGCGGCAUGCCUAAUACAUGCAAGUCGAGCGGAACUUCAGGAGCUUGCUCCUGAAGUUCAGCGGCGGACGGGUGAGUAACACGUGGGCAACCUACCUUACAGAUGGGGAUAACUCCGGGAAACCGGGGCUAAUACCGAAUAACCCAUUUCUUCGCAUGAAGAGAUGUUGAAAGACGGUUUCGGCUGUCACUGUGAGAUGGGCCCGCGGCGCAUUAGUUAGUUGGUGGGGUAACGGCCUACCAAGACCACGAUGCGUAGCCGACCUGAGAGGGUGAUCGGCCACACUGGGACUGAGACACGGCCCAGACUCCUACGGGAGGCAGCAGUAGGGAAUCUUCCACAAUGGACGAAAGUCUGAUGGAGCAAUGCCGCGUGAGUGAAGAAGGUUCUCGGAUCGUAAAGCUCUGUUGUAAGGGAAGAACAAGUACAGGAGUAACUGUCUGUACCUUGACGGUACCUUACCAGAAAGCCACGGCUAACUAC